RNAcentral lists this ribosomal RNA (2353 nucleotides) under Salmonella enterica. RNAcentral's name for it is "partial 23S ribosomal RNA". It matches the Rfam family "Bacterial large subunit ribosomal RNA", at positions 593 to 2925 of the family's 2925-position model. RNAcentral also lists the same sequence under 26 other names. The record is from RNAcentral. Lineage: Bacteria; Pseudomonadati; Pseudomonadota; Gammaproteobacteria; Enterobacterales; Enterobacteriaceae.
GUGACUGCGUACCUUUUGUAUAAUGGGUCAGCGACUUAUAUUCUGUAGCAAGGUUAACCGAAUAGGGGAGCCGGAGGGAAACCGAGUCUUAAUUGGGCGUUAAGUUGCAGGGUAUAGACCCGAAACCCGGUGAUCUAGCCAUGGGCAGGUUGAAGGUUGGGUAACACUAACUGGAGGACCGAACCGACUAAUGUUGAAAAAUUAGCGGAUGACCUGUGGCUGGGGGUGAAAGGCCAAUCAAACCGGGAGAUAGCUGGUUCUCCCCGAAAGCUAUUUAGGUAGCGCCUCGUGAAUUCAUCUCCGGGGGUAGAGCACUGUUUCGGCUAGGGGGCCAUCCCGGCUUACCAACCCGAUGCAAACUGCGAAUACCGGAGAAUGUUAUCACGGGAGACACACGGCGGGUGCUAACGUCCGUCGUGAAGAGGGAAACAACCCAGACCGCCAGCUAAGGUCCCAAAGUCAUGGUUAAGUGGGAAACGAUGUGGGAAGGCCCAGACAGCCAGGAUGUUGGCUUAGAAGCAGCCAUCAUUUAAAGAAAGCGUAAUAGCUCACUGGUCGAGUCGGCCUGCGCGGAAGAUGUAACGGGGCUAAACCAUGCACCGAAGCUGCGGCAGCGACACUGUGUGUUGUUGGGUAGGGGAGCGUUCUGUAAGCCUGCGAAGGUGGCCUGUGAGGGUUGCUGGAGGUAUCAGAAGUGCGAAUGCUGACAUAAGUAACGAUAAAGCGGGUGAAAAGCCCGCUCGCCGGAAGACCAAGGGUUCCUGUCCAACGUUAAUCGGGGCAGGGUGAGUCGACCCCUAAGGCGAGGCCGAAAGGCGUAGUCGAUGGGAAACGGGUUAAUAUUCCCGUACUUGGUGUUACUGCGAAGGGGGGACGGAGAAGGCUAUGUUGGCCGGGCGACGGUUGUCCCGGUUUAAGCGUGUAGGUGUGUGUUCCAGGUAAAUCCGGUUCACUUUAACACUGAGGCGUGACGACGAGGCACUACGGUGCUGAAGCAACAAAUGCCCUGCUUCCAGGAAAAGCCUCUAAGCAUCAGGUAACAUCAAAUCGUACCCCAAACCGACACAGGUGGUCAGGUAGAGAAUACCAAGGCGCUUGAGAGAACUCGGGUGAAGGAACUAGGCAAAAUGGUGCCGUAACUUCGGGAGAAGGCACGCUGACACGUAGGUGAAGUGAUUUACUCAUGGAGCUGAAGUCAGUCGAAGAUACCAGCUGGCUGCAACUGUUUAUUAAAAACACAGCACUGUGCAAACACGAAAGUGGACGUAUACGGUGUGACGCCUGCCCGGUGCCGGAAGGUUAAUUGAUGGGGUCAGCGCAAGCGAAGCUCCUGAUCGAAGCCCCGGUAAACGGCGGCCGUAACUAUAACGGUCCUAAGGUAGCGAAAUUCCUUGUCGGGUAAGUUCCGACCUGCACGAAUGGCGUAAUGAUGGCCAGGCUGUCUCCACCCGAGACUCAGUGAAAUUGAACUCGCUGUGAAGAUGCAGUGUACCCGCGGCAAGACGGAAAGACCCCGUGAACCUUUACUAUAGCUUGACACUGAACAUUGAGCCUUGAUGUGUAGGAUAGGUGGGAGGCUUUGAAGUGUGGACGCCAGUCUGCAUGGAGCCGACCUUGAAAUACCACCCUUUAAUGUUUGAUGUUCUAACGUGGACCCGUUACCCGGGUUGCGGACAGUGUCUGGUGGGUAGUUUGACUGGGGCGGUCUCCUCCUAAAGAGUAACGGAGGAGCACGAAGGUUGGCUAAUCCUGGUCGGACAUCAGGAGGUUAGUGCAAUGGCAUAAGCCAGCUUGACUGCGAGCGUGACGGCGCGAGCAGGUGCGAAAGCAGGUCAUAGUGAUCCGGUGGUUCUGAAUGGAAGGGCCAUCGCUCAACGGAUAAAAGGUACUCCGGGGAUAACAGGCUGAUACCGCCCAAGAGUUCAUAUCGACGGCGGUGUUUGGCACCUCGAUGUCGGCUCAUCACAUCCUGGGGCUGAAGUAGGUCCCAAGGGUAUGGCUGUUCGCCAUUUAAAGUGGUACGCGAGCUGGGUUUAGAACGUCGUGAGACAGUUCGGUCCCUAUCUGCCGUGGGCGCUGGAGAACUGAGGGGGGCUGCUCCUAGUACGAGAGGACCGGAGUGGACGCAUCACUGGUGUUCGGGUUGUCAUGCCAAUGGCACUGCCCGGUAGCUAAAUGCGGAAGAGAUAAGUGCUGAAAGCAUCUAAGCACGAAACUUGCCCCGAGAUGAGUUCUCCCUGAGACUUAGAGUCUCCUGAAGGAACGUUGAAGACGACGACGUUGAUAGGCCGGGUGUGUAAGCGCAGCGAUGCGUUGAGCUAACCGGUACUAAUGAACCGUGAGGCUUAACCUU